AUUAAAUAUAUAUCAAUUUUAGGAAUAAAAAAAUAACAUCAAAAUAUUUUAAAAUGUAUUAAAAAAAUUAAGAUGAACUUCAUUGUGAAUAAAAAUAAACAGUACACUAUUUGUUUUCAUAUUUAUAAACUUUAUAUACAUUAAAUAUUAAUUUACAUUUAUAUUGGGACCAUCCAUUUACAUAAUUUUUUAAAAAAUUUGUUAUUUAUUAUCCUAGUGGAUUGUAUCAUAUUUUGCAUUGGUCCAGUUCAGAACUCAAAAAAUUAUUAAUUUCUCAUAUUUAUUAAUCUAUCAAAUAUUAUUUAUAGAGUUUCUACUGUAUUUUCUAUGUACUCUCAAAAUUUGAACUCUGAACCAUCGGCCGAUAGUCUUUUUUUUUUCAACACAAAGAAGAAUCCAAGCCCGCUAGCCAAAACGGUGGAACUGAAUCGACAUAAACCAUAGCUGAAUGUAGAUUUCUAGCAUCAUGUGUUAACUUGUGAGUCUUUGUAUUUUGUGUCCUUGGCAUAUGUUGGAUGACAAAGUUGGAGAAGAAGCGCUUACAUCGUAGGAACUCUUCUAUAUGUGUAGUGAACGCCGGUCAUUCUGUUGGUGUAGCCACCAUUUUCACUAGUUGACAACAAUUUGUUGCAAACACCACUUCUAAAUUCUGAAAGAUUUUCAUGCAUUUCAUCGCCCAAAUCAGUGCUUCACAUUCAACAUGCAAAAGUGAUAGAUUAAACUUAUGCGGGUAUUCAUAGUCUCUUAGUAUAUUUUGGAUUAAACUUUCACCAGUUAUGGUUUAUAGAAGAACAAAAAAAAUUAUACCCAAAGUUAUGAAAAACUAAACAUGUUGUACUAAACAUUAAACUACAAAAUUUUGAAUAUAUAUUUUAUAUUUUAGAUAGAUUUGUCAAAAUUAUUAUUUAUUUUCAUAAUUAACAUUUUGUUUUAAAUGAUGUAUUUGUAAAUAACAGUUAAAAAUUUCUCAAAAUAUAAAAUAUUUUAAAAUUUAUGUAAUAUGACUUUAAAAAUCUAUAAGCCUCAUUAGCUUUGACGAGUCUAGUUAUAUAACUACUAUUACUAAAUUAAACACCUUUUCAUUCCAAAUUAACACACAAAGAAGAAGUGAUCAAAAUAGUAUUAAGAAAAAUUUAAAGCCAUUUUUAUUUUAUAUUUAGGUUUGAGUUUAGUGAUUAGUAUUAAGGCUUUUUUUUUGGGAUGGAGUUAGGGUGUAUUUAGGGUUUGGAGUAAUUUAAUCAUUUCAUCUUUUAUUAGUGCUAAUUUAGUCAUUUUCUCUUUGUGAGCUAUUUUUUUCAUAAUUGUUUUUAUGCUAUCUAAUAUUUGUUCUUAUAAAUAAUAGAUAUGUCAUUUUUACAUUUCUUAUUCUUCUUUUCAAAGCAUUAGAAUUUUGUAAUAACUUAUAUUCAAUAGUUAAGUUAUUAAUUAUUUUUUUAAUCAGCGACUCUAAUUUUAUUUUAAGUCAAAAUUUAAUGUCAAACAAUAUAAAAAGUUAUAAAAAUUUAUGUUUACUAUAGAUUUAUGUUUUACCUAAUAAAUAAAAUUUUAUUUUUCUUUUAAUUGUGACCCGAGCAUUUGUUUUUUUUUUAAGUUUAGUUCUGUUAUGACUAAUUUAAUACCAGAUGUAUAAUUCAAACAAUAAAAAUUAAAAUAUUUGAUCAGAACUGUACAUCACUAAAUAAAUCAAACUUUGUAAUUUUUGGUUAUUAUUACGUAAUUGAGAUCCUAAUCAAAAAGUUAUCAAUUUAAUUGUUUAUACAGCUUCAUACUGAUGAAUAUCUCAAUUUGUUACCUUAGCCAAAACCAAAUUUUAUAAGAGUUUGUAAAAAUUCCAAAAUGUAUUUACAAAUCAAAUAAAAAUAAACGAAGUAAUUAAAUAAAUUAACAAAAUUAAUCUGAUUUAGCUUAACUGUAACGAAAAUGUAAUGGUGCAAUUCAGAGAAACUGCUUCAAUCCAAUAUACCUAAAAUGAAUAAGUAAACUUAUCUGAAUUUCUAUACCCGAAAACAUGUCCAAUGAAGAUAAUAAUCUAAAUUAUCUAAAAUAAUCUUCUAUUUAGAUUUGAUACAUAUAAACUAUAAAAUGCACUAAAAUUUCUAAGUAAAUACAAACCAAAUAUUAAUUAAUUACUACAAUUCUAUUUUAUAAAUACUCAUUUCAAUAUAUGAAAUUUUAAAUUUUUAUUUUUAUUUACGCUUAUGAACUUUCGAACCCAUCUACACUUUAUUUAAUUUUGGUUUCUAUUUUAUUUUAUUUUGAAACAACAUAUAUCCAAGUAUGAAGAACUAUAUGAAAAUAUUUACUAAUCUAAAAAUUUUAAAUCAAACUAAGUGUAACUAAAAGAAUUAAUUAAUUUUUAACAUAAUUAAAACAAACAAUUAUUGUUACAUUUUGAAUAAUAUAUGCAAUUCACUACUCCGAAACAGAAUAAUAGAAGUUAUGUGAAUUAUUAUAUUUGAAAUAACAUGUCUAACUAAGAUAACACUAAAGUAACAUUUUAUACAAAUUUAGUUAAUUUUAUACAUAUAAUUAUAAACUAAUUAAAAUAUUAAAUAAAUUAAAUUAAAGUAUUAAAUAAUUAUUAUAUUUUAUCUAUUUUAUAAAUAUUUAUAUCUGUGCAUGUCACAUAGUUAAUAAGUUGCAAAACAAGUCUUCUUUUGUAGGAAAUUUAUUGAAUGAUAUGAAUUUCAAAAUAGUUUACUUUAAAAUAUUUAAAGUCUUUGUUAGGAAAUAUAUUAAUUUUAUUAAGAUGAUAAUGGUAAAACUUGGCUUUUUGUAUUUUUCACUGAACUCUGUUAAUUUCCUUUCACAUAACAAUAUUUUGAACAUUUCAGCAAGAUUAAAUAACAUUAACAUUUGAUAGAACUAAGAAUUUAAUAAAUUAAAAUACUAUAAUUUAAAGUAUUUCAAAAGAAUGACUACAAAUACUCAGAAUCUAAAGUUUCAAAAAUAAUAAUUCUCAAAAUUUAAAAAUAUAUGAAUACAUUAUUGAAUAACAUUAUAAUUUAAAUAGAAAGCUUAAUUCCAUCAAAUUUAAUAAAUUCCUUAAUUGAAUAUCUAGUGUUUUAUAAUCCUAGCUGGGUUAUUUAUACUACGGAUCAAAAAGAUACUUUGCAAAAUCAAAAUGAUUAUUUUUUAAUCAUUUACCUCAUAACAGUUUUUUAUGGAAGUUACUUGAUGAAAACUUGGAAAA
Long non-coding RNA from Brassica rapa (field mustard), 3193 nucleotides. RefSeq lists it as uncharacterized. The record is from RefSeq and is a predicted model, not a curated record. Lineage: Eukaryota; Viridiplantae; Streptophyta; Magnoliopsida; Brassicales; Brassicaceae.